AGAGUUUGAUUAUGGCUCAGGCCUUUAAAGGGCGGCGUGCCUAACACAUGCAAGUCGAACGGCCUUAUAAAGGAAAACUCUUCGGAGUCGGAAUUCUUGACUUAGUGGCGGACGGGUGAGUAACGCGUGAGCAAUCUGCCUUUGGAUGUGGGAUGACAGCCGGAAACGGCUGCUAAUACCGCAUAACGCAUUCUGGCCGCAUGACCGGGAUGCCAAAGAUUUAUCGUCCAAAGAUGAGCUCGCGUCUGAUUAGCUGGUUGGCGGGGUAACGGCCCACCAAGGCGACGAUCAGUAGCCGGACUGAGAGGUUGAACGGCCACAUUGGGACUGAGACACGGCCCAGACUCCUACGGGAGGCAGCAGUGGGGAAUAUUGCGCAAUGGGGGCAACCCUGACGCAUCAACGCCGCGUGAUUGAAGAAGGCCUUCGGGUUGUAAAGAUCUUUAAACAGGGACGAAGAAAUGACGGUACCUGAAGAAUAAGCUCCGGCUAACUACGUGCCAGCAGCCGCGGUAAUACGUAGGGAGCAAGCGUUAUCCGGAUUUACUGGGUGUAAAGGGCGUGUAGGCGGCAUAGCAAGUCUGAAGUGAAAGCCCGUGGCUCAACCGCGGAACUGCUUUGGAAACUGUUAAGCUGGAGUACUGGAGAGGCAAGCGGAAUUCCUAGUGUAGCGGUGAAAUGCGUAGAUAUUAGGAGGAAAACCAGUGGCGAAGGCGGCUUGCUGGACAGAGAAUGACGUUUGAA
RNAcentral lists this ribosomal RNA (744 nucleotides) under uncultured bacterium. RNAcentral describes it as "bacterial SSU rRNA". It matches the Rfam family "Bacterial small subunit ribosomal RNA", at positions 8 to 751 of the family's 1533-position model. The record is from RNAcentral.